AGUCAAUGUUGUUAUUUGUGCCUAGUUGAAAGACUGCUCUCUCCUGCACCUAGGCAGCAGAGACAAAGACCCUGACUUCUCUGAGCAGCCUGAAAAGUGACAAAGGGGAAUUGGCACACUUGGAGUUGAGAAAUUGGCAGAGAGGUGAUAAGAUAGCGUUUAAAGUCACAGAUGUUGCUCUCAGCAUUUAUUGAUUGUAAUUCAAGAGAGGAAAAAGGAAUAAAACUCUCCCCACACCGGAGGUCCUUUGGAAUAUGCACCAAACAGUGUCUAGGGAAAAACUGGCAUGUUCUUGAAACACAUGUUACUCCUCUCCCCUCCCACACCUGCAGCAGACAUCACUAAUCAAUGACAGCACUCUUCGCUGCUGAGCACUGUGUGUCCUUAACACUGUUCUCAGCCCAGCACUCCAGGCAGCCACUGCAAUUGACCAGAGUUGCCACAGGAGAUGAAGCCUCUUCUAUCCCAGCUAGUGAAAGGGAGUGAAGACACCUGGUGCUGCCCUCUGGGUCCCCUCACCUUCUCACAAACACAUGUUCAUCCACACCUCCUAGCCAUUGCAGGUCAAGACACUGUACUUGAAUGUUCUCCCUUCUGCUUUUCCAAAGCAGAUUCAUCCUUUCAGGUCUGGUUCAAAUUUCAUUUUUUCCAAGAAGCCUCUAGGGUACCCAAACCCAAUCUUCCCUCACCCAAUCUCUCUUUCCUUCCAUUUCCCAGGGCUGCCUUCUGAUACCACACAAGGGAGCUCUAUCCUAUGCCC
This 760-nucleotide long non-coding RNA is filed under the name Homo sapiens (human). RNAcentral's name for it is "non-protein coding lnc-CXCR4-5:1". The record is from RNAcentral. Lineage: Eukaryota; Metazoa; Chordata; Mammalia; Primates; Hominidae.